RNAcentral lists this ribosomal RNA (521 nucleotides) under Vibrio parahaemolyticus. RNAcentral's name for it is "bacterial SSU rRNA". It matches the Rfam family "Bacterial small subunit ribosomal RNA", at positions 201 to 716 of the family's 1533-position model. Lineage: Bacteria; Pseudomonadati; Pseudomonadota; Gammaproteobacteria; Vibrionales; Vibrionaceae. The record is from RNAcentral.
CCUUCGGGCCUCUCGCGUCAGGAUAUGCCUAGGUGGGAUUAGCUAGUUGGUGAGGUAAGGGCUCACCAAGGCGACGAUCCCUAGCUGGUCUGAGAGGAUGAUCAGCCACACUGGAACUGAGACACGGUCCAGACUCCUACGGGAGGCAGCAGUGGGGAAUAUUGCACAAUGGGCGCAAGCCUGAUGCAGCCAUGCCGCGUGUGUGAAGAAGGCCUUCGGGUUGUAAAGCACUUUCAGUCGUGAGGAAGGUGGUAGUGUUAAUAGCACUAUCAUUUGACGUUAGCGACAGAAGAAGCACCGGCUAACUCCGUGCCAGCAGCCGCGGUAAUACGGAGGGUGCGAGCGUUAAUCGGAAUUACUGGGCGUAAAGCGCAUGCAGGUGGUUUGUUAAGUCAGAUGUGAAAGCCCGGGGCUCAACCUCGGAAUUGCAUUUGAAACUGGCAGACUAGAGUACUGUAGAGGGGGGUAGAAUUUCAGGUGUAGCGGUGAAAUGCGUAGAGAUCUGAAGGAAUACCGGUGGC